UACGUAGGGUGCAAGCGUUGUCCGGAAUUAUUGGGCGUAAAGAGCUCGUAGGCGGUUUGUCGCGUCUGCUGUGAAAACCCGAGGCUCAACCUCGGGCCUGCAGUGGGUACGGGCAGACUAGAGUGCGGUAGGGGAGAUUGGAAUUCCUGGUGUAGCGGUGGAAUGCGCAGAUAUCAGGAAGAACACCCGUGGCGAAGGCGGUUCUCUGGUCUGCAACUGACGCUGAGGCGCGAAAGCGUGGAUAGCAAACAGG
This 253-nucleotide ribosomal RNA is filed under the name uncultured bacterium. RNAcentral describes it as "partial 16S ribosomal RNA". It matches the Rfam family "Bacterial small subunit ribosomal RNA", at positions 524 to 776 of the family's 1533-position model. The record is from RNAcentral.